GAUGAACGCUGACAGAAUGCUUAACACAUGCAAGUCGAUUCGAUUUACCUUCGGGUAUUGAGGAUGGCGGACGGGUGAGUAACGCGUAAGGAACUUGCCUCUUGGUCUGGGACAACUGUUGGAAACGACAGCUAAUACCGGAUAUUAUGAGAUUCUCGCAUGGGAAACUUAUGAAAGCUAUAUGCGCCAAGAGAGAGCCUUGCAUUCCAUUAGCUAGUUGGUGGGGUAACGGCCCACCAAGGCGACGAUGGAUAGCCGGCCUGAGAGGGUGAACGGCCACAAGGGGACUGAGACACGGCCCUUACUCCUACGGGAGGCAGCAGUGGGGAAUAUUGGACAAUGGGCCACAAGCCUGAUCCAGCAAUUCUGUGUGCACGAUGAAGGUCUUCGGAUUGUAAAGUGCUUUCAGUUGGGAAGAAGAAAGUGACGGUACCAACAGAAGAAGCGACGGCUAAAUACGUGCCAGCAGCCGCGGUAAUACGUAUGUCGCAAGCGUUAUCCGGAUUUAUUGGGCGUAAAGCGCGUCUAGGCGGAAAAGUAAGUCUGAUGUUAAAAUGCGGGGCUCAACUCCGUAUUGCGUUGGAAACUGUUUUUCUAGAGUACUGGAGAGGUGGGCGGAACUACAAGUGUAGAGGUGAAAUUCNUA
RNAcentral lists this ribosomal RNA (646 nucleotides) under uncultured prokaryote. RNAcentral's name for it is "bacterial SSU rRNA". It matches the Rfam family "Bacterial small subunit ribosomal RNA", at positions 28 to 692 of the family's 1533-position model. The record is from RNAcentral.